UGUUCACGGCUGGGGUGCCCGUGCGGCCGCUUUGGAAAAAAGGCGGGUGGCGCGGGCUGAGACACACCCAUCGAACCUGAUCCGGGUCAUGCCGGCGAAGGGAGCCGACCGGAACCCGAC
RNAcentral lists this non-coding RNA (120 nucleotides) under Azospirillum sp. Its description in RNAcentral is "TPP sequence". It matches the Rfam family "TPP riboswitch aptamer (THI element)". Rfam says of the family: Vitamin B(1) in its active form thiamin pyrophosphate (TPP) is an essential coenzyme that is synthesised by coupling of pyrimidine and thiazole moieties in bacteria. The previously detected thiamin-regulatory element, thi box was extended, resulting in a new, highly conserved RNA secondary structure, the THI element, which is widely distributed in eubacteria and also occurs in some archaea. The record is from RNAcentral. Lineage: Bacteria; Pseudomonadati; Pseudomonadota; Alphaproteobacteria; Rhodospirillales; Azospirillaceae. RNAcentral also lists the same sequence under 1 other name.